RNAcentral lists this long non-coding RNA (705 nucleotides) under Bos taurus (domestic cattle). RNAcentral's name for it is "long non-coding RNA NONBTAT019367". Lineage: Eukaryota; Metazoa; Chordata; Mammalia; Artiodactyla; Bovidae. The record is from RNAcentral.
ACAGGCAAAACAAACUACAGUUGAUUUGGAGAAAUUAAGUUCUGUAGGCCUUUGUCAGUAUACCAUGUUCAUCUAAAAACUUCAUACUUUGGUCACAAGACAAUCAUGCUGUGCUUCACAAAGCAUUUGAUGGAGUAAAAACAAGCUGUUGGGAGGCAAAAGGUAAGAUUUUCAAUGUAAAUAUGACCAGGAAAAGAAGCCACAUGCAGGCACAUAUGUACUUUAGUGAGGGUGUUGAUGAAAGUGAUGUAGUACUCAUAAUACUUCAUUCAAAAGGCAGUAGACAGGACAAAAUAGUGCUGGAAACCAAAAUAUAAUUGUGUCCUUUGGGAACACAGGACAUAUUUGAUGAUGAUCAUGACCAUGCUGAUGAUCAAUUUUGAAGACAACAAAAUGCCUUCAUUUCUUAGCGUACACCAUCUGGUUUUCAUUUCUUUUGAAGAUGAAAAUGCCCUCCUAUGGAUUGGCUCAGCAGGUGUGUUGUUUCCUACUACUACUUUAAAAAAAAAAUUUACUCAGUAAGUGAUUUCAUUCCUGAAUCAGGAAAAGAAGAUAGAUGCUGCUAGAAAUGACAAUGUCAAACUCAUGACAGUGAUUAUUUCAAGCUCAGAAUGAAUCACUUUUAAGACAGGAACCUUUGGUUUAUUUGUUUUGCGGCUAUUAGGCAUUUAAUACUUCCACUGAGACAGAGUAAACUUUCUAAAG